RNAcentral lists this long non-coding RNA (202 nucleotides) under Brassica napus (rape). Its description in RNAcentral is "long non-coding RNA (BNAP_LNC020928)". The record is from RNAcentral. Lineage: Eukaryota; Viridiplantae; Streptophyta; Magnoliopsida; Brassicales; Brassicaceae.
UUUUGAUCAUAAAUCAUUAAUUAGAAAAAUACAGAGGUGUAUAAAAUCUAAAGUCAUUAUAUUCUACAUAGAAUUUGGAAGACGCAAAUAUUUUGAUACAAAACAAAAGUUUCAAAACAUCAUAUAUAACAAAACAGAGAGAGUAUAUGAUUUUGAAUGGUAUAAAUAUGUAAUCAAUAUAAUUAUAAAUACUUUUCUGAAA